UAGAACAUAUAAUAGUAUCUAAUCUACCAAGAUCACCACAAAUACUCCAUAUACCAUCCACAACACCAAGGGUGACUCCCAUCAUCACCUCACUUUCAUUCAUAUGUCCAUUGAUAGUACAAGGUAUGCCUUCUUAUUUAUAUAAUUUAGAUACUUUACUUAAGUGAAAAAUAAAAUCUCUUCCUUUCUAUCUGGAUGAAUUUCACUCAUGGCCAACCUUUGAUUUUGAACUUCCACUCUUUAUAGAUCUUAGUGAUCAUGAAGAAACUACCUUGAUGGACAAAUUCAAAGUUUCUUCACCAACC
This 305-nucleotide long non-coding RNA is filed under the name Physcomitrium patens. RNAcentral's name for it is "long non-coding RNA (PPAT_LNC013552)". The record is from RNAcentral. Lineage: Eukaryota; Viridiplantae; Streptophyta; Bryopsida; Funariales; Funariaceae.